AGCCGAAACGGUGGGUUUAACCGCCCACUGUCUGCCGGAGAUGGUCUACUGGCACUGAUGAGGCAGACUUCA
RNAcentral lists this non-coding RNA (72 nucleotides) under Ruminococcus sp. The record is from RNAcentral. Lineage: Bacteria; Bacillati; Bacillota; Clostridia; Eubacteriales; Oscillospiraceae.